AAGCUGGCUGAUGGAGAAACCAAUGCAAGGACCAGUAACCCAGCCAAGAGGUGUGCUUGAGCAAGGGCCCCAGUCAGAUGGUGGAUAUGGACGAUGGGUGACCCAGAGGCUGAUGGACUGGACCCUCACAAUGGUCAUGGACCCCAGUACUGAGCAGCAUGAAACCAGCUCGUGAAAAAGCUGAAAUAAUAUGGGAUCCAGCAGAACUAGGCCUGGCCACCUCUGGCCCAGAUCUAACAUUUCCAGCUAUCUUUGCCUAGCUGCAUGCUUGAGGACUGCUAGAUGUUUUGGAAUGAAGGAUGUGACUCACGGUAAACUUUGCUCUGGUACAGUUCCACACCCUAACUCUGUUAACAUCUAGGGACAGGUAAUUCUUUGUUGCGGGUUCAUCCUGUGCUCUGUGGGUAGAAAUUUUCACCUCCUUCCAUUAGGGAAACUCAGAAUGUCUCCAGACUUUGCUCAGUGCCCUGGGGUGCAUACAGAAGGGUGUGAAAUAGUUUUGUAGAGUCACUCUACUGUGGUUUACUUUAUACCAGUAUCAAGGUUAGGCACUCUCCAUUUCUGUCUCUCUCUCUCUUGAUUACUUCAUCUAAUAGGUCACAUGUAUUUGUGGAAUCUAUUUUUAGCCUCACUGUGCAAUAUAUAUUCCCACUGUUCACUGGGAACAAUUGCUCUUUAACCAGUGAACGUUUUCAGUGCUGGUGCCCACACCACUGUGUUUACUACAGGAUGUCACCAAAGGGGGAAAGGGAGCCAUUGCUCAUACAUUAGUCUGUGCAAAUUGCGACAUCUAAAACUCCAUGUCAGUUGUGAUGUUUAUAUAUACACAAGCAGAACUCCAAGUCAAUCAAUCAUACAACAGUCGCUGCAGGGACAAAGUCAGUGUCCUAACUGGGGAAGUGUAGAACAGCCGGGGCCCCCUGCCUUUCAACAGAACAAAGAGGCUCUUGCAGAAGCUCACUAAUUUUAGACGAAAUAGUUUCUUAUUUUGGUCACAGCUGUUGACAUUCCAAGGGCCUCUUAUUCUGCCCGAUGAAAUGAGGAGGCCCUGCCAGAGGUUUGGUCCUGUCUGAGGAUUUGGUGACAUCAUUUUGAGAAUUGCUAGCUGUCGGGAGUAUGUUUUAUGUAUAGUGGAUAACUGUUGUAAAUGGUUUGACUAAGGAUUCUCAAGCUGCCUUUAGAGUUGGUUCUUAGAGAAUUCCCUCUUUAUGGGAGUGCUUGCCCCAACUGAAGUGGAGAGAUCACUUUUUUGGACAGCAUCCAAUGUCACUGGCCAUCUAGAACAGGAACAUGCCAAGGACAUAGCAAGACUCACUGGCCCCAUGCAUGUGCCACCAGCACUCUCCUUCCCAACAAAGCUUCGAGCAUUUCAAGACUUUGUCACAGUUUACAAGGUUUCAGGGUGGUGUUGCCUUUUGAAUAGCAGGGUCAUGAUGCACUUGUGGCUUCAGAAAGACCCUCCAUCUGCUGCUACACAUAGAUUUCACAUAGCUCUGCCAGAGGACCUACCUGCCCCAGGUUGUAAUAGACGGUGACUCCUUUCAGUUCCUUUUGGAUUACUUACUCCUCAGUAAGAGGAAACCUCUCCAGGAGGGGCUUUCAUCACUGACCAUUUCAUUACUGUAGCUGAGGAACUGUGAUCAAACUCAGUUAAAUUUAGUUCUUGCACUCCCUCUCCCU
Cricetulus griseus (Chinese hamster) is the source of this 1680-nucleotide non-coding RNA. Lineage: Eukaryota; Metazoa; Chordata; Mammalia; Rodentia; Cricetidae. The record is from RefSeq and is a predicted model, not a curated record.